CCCUCGGCACUGAUAGAAGAGAGAAGAAACAGACAGCCUAAAGCCCUUCCUCUCUCCUCGGCGCCGGAAUGGCGAAAAGCGGCGGCGAGUCCACUGUGGAGGUUCCUAUUCCCGCUUCCGCGUCGGCUACGAGGCCGAAGGCGAAACACCGUAUAGAGAUCGAGGGGUACCCUGUGGAUGGCGUCUCCAUUGGCGGUCAAGAGACUUGCGUCAUCUUCCCGACUCUGAGCCUCGCCUUCGACAUCGGCCGGUGCCCGCAGCGCGCCGUCUCCCAGGAGUUCCUCUUCGUCUCUCACGGGCACCUCGACCACAUCGGGGGCCUUCCCAUGUAUGUGGCCACGCGGGGGCUCUUCAGGCUGCGUCCGCCCACCAUCUUCGUCCCCGCGUGCCUCCGGGACCUCGUGGAGAGGCUAUUUGAGGUGCACCGCGCCAUGGACCAGUCCGAGCUCAACCACAACCUGGUCCCCCUGGAGGUCGGGGAGGAGUACGAGCUCAGGAGGGACCUCAAGGUCAGGGCUUUCAGGACCUAUCACGCCAUACCCAGCCAGGGGUAUGUGAUAUACUCGGUGAAGCAGAAGCUUAAGCAGGAGUUCAUUGGCCUACCAGGGAGCGAGAUCAAGCGGCUCAAGCUAUCAGGUGUGGAGAUCACAAAUACGGUGUCCACCCCUGAAAUUGCUUUCUCGGGGGAUACAACAGCAGAUUUCAUUCUUGAUCCGGAUAAUGCAGAUGUGCUGCAGGCAAAAAUUCUUGUUGUCGAGAGUACCUUUCUAGACGACUCAAUUUCAGUUGAGCAUGCAAGAGAAUAUGGGCACACACAUUUAUUUGAGAUAACAAGUCAGGCCGACAAGCUUCAAAACAAAGCUAUUCUACUGAUCCACUUUUCUGCUCGUUAUACUACAGAGGAAAUUGAUGCGGCAAUAAACAAAUUGCCACCGUCUUUCCGUAGCAGAGUUUAUGCCUUGAAGGAAGGCUUCUAAUAAAAACAUGAACCAGGAAAUCAGUAUUGAAGUUUUGUCGGAGCAGUUUUCCAAAUUGGAUUGCGUGGGUAUUUUUCACCGGAAACCUUUUUGCUAUGUGUGCUCUGAUGAUACUAUACCAAUCAUCUGAAGGUUCAUGCGGGGCUUUUUGUUGUCGGUACUCAUGCUUGUGACAUUGGAAUGUUUGAAUGGUGAAAUGCGAAACAUCAUGUCCAGAACAGGAACUCUCCUCACCUCAUCUCUGAAGAUAUACAAGUAGUACUAAAUCAAUUUCACACAAAAAAAAGAGCUACCCAUUGUGUCUGAACCGUAAAUUAUGGUUAGGUUUCAAUUCUAGCCUACUCCAACUUAUUUGGAAUUAGAAGACUGUUGUUGUUGCUGCUGCUUUAAACCUUGGUGGCAGAUUGCUCAAAUUCAGAUCAGAGUCGUCAUCUCAAUACUAGUUUUAAGGCAAUGGAGAAACAAUUGUAUGUGUUUCAACUUUCGACUGACAGGAACACACCCAUCGUUCUUUCCAUUCCUGCUAUGUAUUAAUGUAUACACCACACAAUCAAAAGAAUUGGGACCUGGAGUGUAAUAUACAGUUACAAACUUUGUUUUC
Molecule: RNA transcript, 1578 nt
Organism: Zea mays
Lineage: Eukaryota; Viridiplantae; Streptophyta; Magnoliopsida; Poales; Poaceae
Exons: 7
Source: RefSeq, marked validated